Molecule: long non-coding RNA, 187 nt
Organism: Ipomoea triloba (trilobed morning glory)
Lineage: Eukaryota; Viridiplantae; Streptophyta; Magnoliopsida; Solanales; Convolvulaceae
Exons: 3
Source: RefSeq, a predicted model, not a curated record
GACAACAGACCAUGGCAUAUGAUAUGGAAUCUUAAGGUACCCCCUAAAGUGAAGACCGAGGAGUCUGCUAGGCAUUUGUUCAUGGAUUGUGUGCAUGCUGCGACUAUGUGGACAAAGCUAGGUAUUACUACGACGAACUUUGGUCAAGGGCAUGAAUGAACUUUUAAUGAAGUGGAAUGCUCCGUUA